AGGAGCCAGCGGGCGGAGUGCGGCGCCGCCCUGCGCUUGAGCUGGAGGAGCCGGGUGCGCAGACCAGGGGAGCCUCCGGAGCAGAUGUCUUCUGUGAGAGAUUGUGGGUAAUCACGUGCCACAAGAAGAGAUUCUGAGGCCCCCAAAGAGUGACUAGAAAGCCUAUGGAAGGAUGAGCUUCAGUUUUGCAAGGAAAAGGCAAGAAGCAAGCUUAGGCUAAAUCAACAAUGGAAAACAUGGAGUGUUCGGCUUCUGUGGGAUGGUGAGAAUCAUACGGUCCAUAAAACAAGCCUCCACAAAACCAGCAUGCGGCUCUUUCCCCUGGGACGUCAUUCAUGGCCUAGCAUGGCCCAAUGCCCAAGUCCUUCCCGCCACCUGCUUCUAUGUGCGCCACACCCACUCCAGUGAAGUCUGCGAGGCAAGUCCAAAAGCUUGGCUGCAGUCCUGAGGCAAAAAGUUUCACGGAAACUGGUCUCCUGGAGAGUCUCUGGUGUCCCAUGACCAGAUUUGUCCCUGCUGUAGUGUGGAGCGUUUUGUAUGCUUUAUUGCGGUAUUUUACUGGAUAAGAGCUAGAAAACUCAGGGCUAGUUCAAAAUAGUAAACUUAGAAU
This is a long non-coding RNA of Mus musculus (house mouse), 610 nucleotides long. RefSeq annotates it as predicted gene, 46850. Lineage: Eukaryota; Metazoa; Chordata; Mammalia; Rodentia; Muridae. The record is from RefSeq and is a predicted model, not a curated record. The transcript is spliced from 3 exons.